UGACCUCCUUCAUCAGAUCAGAAAAGCCUGAACUCGAGUACAGUAUACAUACAUCUCAGCAGAGCACAAAGCCAAGGAAAUUUCAGAAGAAUGGACCCCAGCCAGUCUUUCAACCUGCCUUCAGGAGCCUACAGUUCAUCAGAUAAAUCAGUGAUGUUGCAGCCUGAAGCACCACCACCAGCAUACCAGCACAAUCCUGCUGUAUAUCCUCCCUCCUUUCCGAGCCAAGCAGUCCCCCAAGGCCCUUACAUCCAGGGGCAGUCUGUGGUCACUGUGCAGCCUGCAUUUUUUGUGCUCACCACUCCACUGGCCAAACCAGUGCCAGAGUACACUUGCUAUUCCAUCUUCACCAUGCUGUGUUGCUGUUUUCAUCUGGGCACUGCUGCACUGGUUUACUCACUCUCUACUCGAAAUGCCAACUACUCAGGACAGCGAGAAUUAGCAGAGAGAAACUCCAAAACUGCACGUACCCUGAAUCAUGUCGCUGUUGCUCUGUGGAUCAUUUGCACUGUAUUGUUUUUUGUCUACAUGUUUGUGUUGAAUAAAAAUAUAUAGUGUAUCCAUAACUGUUAAAUCUGGAAGCAGAUUAUGCUACAAACAUAUUUGAUUCUCUUGACUUGUUGAUUCUCUUGAUUAGUGUGUCAAUAUUCACUCAGUAAAACACGCUUUAACUAAUGUGUGAUUUAAACAAUAAAAGUGUUAACUGAGGUAUUUUAAACAUGAAAACAUGAAAAAAACAGUACUUAUUCUUGUUUAUUACAGAAUUGCCAACAUUUAUCUGUCAUCUUUUUUAGCCAAAUGUAGGCCUGUCUGUUUUUGUAUCUUUACAUCUAUAAUGUUUUGACCUAUUGCAAAUAUCCUGUAUGCAGCUAAUUAUUUUACAUAGGCCUACUUUUGUAGGCUAUUAUUUUCUUACACAUUUGUAUGGACAUUAAUAUUCCAGUGAUCCACAUUGUUGAAAGGCACUAUAUAAAUAAAAAUACAUAAUAAUA
Carassius carassius (crucian carp) is the source of this 992-nucleotide long non-coding RNA. RefSeq lists it as uncharacterized. The record is from RefSeq and is a predicted model, not a curated record. The transcript is spliced from 3 exons. NCBI's taxonomy places the organism in Eukaryota, Metazoa, Chordata, Actinopteri, Cypriniformes, Cyprinidae.